GACGAACGCUGGCGGCGUGCCUAAUACAUGCAAGUAGAACGCUGAAGCGAGGAGCUUGCUCUUCUUGGAUGAGUUGCGAACGGGUGAGUAACGCGUAGGUAACCUGCCUUGUAGCGGGGGAUAACUAUUGGAAACGAUAGCUAAUACCGCAUAACAAUGGAUGACCCAUGUCAUUUAUUUGAAAGGGGCAAAUGCUCCACUACAAGAUGGACCUGCGUUGUAUUAGCUAGUAGGUGAGGUAACAGCUCACCUAGGCGACGAUACAUAGCCGACCUGAGAGGGUGAUCGGCCACACUGGGACUGGGACACGGCCCAGACUCCUACGGGAGGCAGCAGUAGGGAAUCUUCGGCAAUGGGGGCAACCCUGACCGAGCAACGCCGCGUGAGUGCAGAAGGUUUUCGGAUCGUAAAGCUCUGUUGUAAGUCAAGAACGAGUGUGAGAGUGGAAAGUUCACACUGUGACGGUAGCUUACCAGAAAGGGACGGCUAACUACGUG
This 497-nucleotide ribosomal RNA is filed under the name uncultured bacterium. RNAcentral's name for it is "partial 16S ribosomal RNA". It matches the Rfam family "Bacterial small subunit ribosomal RNA", at positions 28 to 507 of the family's 1533-position model. The record is from RNAcentral.